UGGGGAAUAUUGCACAAUGGGGGAAACCCUGAUGCAGCAAUGCCGCGUUAAGGAAGAAGGGGUUCGCCUCGUAAACUUAAGACGCUAAUGAAGAAUAAAUGACGGUAAUUAGGCCGAAGCCCCGGCUAACUACGUGCCAGCAGCCGCGGUAAUACGUAGGGGGCAAGCGUUAUCCGGAAUUACUGGGCGUAAAGGGUGAGUAGGCGGUUAUUUAAGUCAUAUGUGAAAGGCCAGGGCUCAACCUUGGGACUGCAUAAGAAACUAAAUAGCUAGAGUACAGGAGAGGUAAGCGGAAUUCCUAGUGUAGCGGUGAAAUGCGUAGAUAUUAGGAAGAACACCGGUGGCGAAGGCGGCUUACUGGACUGAAACUGACGCUGAGGCACGAAAGCGUGGGGAGCAAACA
This 403-nucleotide ribosomal RNA is filed under the name uncultured Eubacteriales bacterium. RNAcentral describes it as "uncultured Clostridiales bacterium partial 16S ribosomal RNA". It matches the Rfam family "Bacterial small subunit ribosomal RNA", at positions 355 to 774 of the family's 1533-position model. Lineage: Bacteria; Bacillati; Bacillota; Clostridia; Eubacteriales. The record is from RNAcentral.